Molecule: transfer RNA, 69 nt
Filed under: Iotyrris cerithiformis
Lineage: Eukaryota; Metazoa; Mollusca; Gastropoda; Neogastropoda; Turridae
Description: tRNA-Glu
Source: RNAcentral
AUUUCUGUGGUGUAAAUUUGCACGUUAGAUUUUCAUUCUAAAAGUAUAAAAACUUGUUUAUCGGAAAUA